Chlorocebus sabaeus (green monkey) is the source of this 2380-nucleotide long non-coding RNA. RefSeq lists it as uncharacterized. NCBI's taxonomy places the organism in Eukaryota, Metazoa, Chordata, Mammalia, Primates, Cercopithecidae. The record is from RefSeq and is a predicted model, not a curated record.
CUCCUCUCGGUUGCUUUUGGCCGCGUCCGGAGUGUGUCUAAUUCUCGGGCGGCUCGCACACCAUCUAGCGAGGAGGCGAGCGCGCCGGAGAGUGAGGGAGGAGGCGCGGCGGCAGCGGAGGAGGCAGGGCGAGCGGCGGCGGCGGCUGCAAUCGCAGCAGCAGCAGCAACAGCAGCAGCAGAAGCAGCGCGGGGCGCUGCGCCGGCCGCCGGCCCCCGGGCUCGCGCGCGUUGCCAAGCGGCCGUUUCCUUAGCAACCCCGCCCGGGGACUGGGGAUGGAGAAGGGGGGGUGGAUUUAAAAAAAAAAGAAAGAAAGAAAGAAAAACGAAAGCAAGAAAAAAAGAAAAGAAAGACAACGAAAAAAAUAAUUAGGAGGAACUGUAUCACAAUUAUGCAAACCGAGGGGGAAAGAGAGCCACCGUAGAAUGAAGGCUUUCCUUACUGUCGUAAGCGCUAGAGGGAUGCUUUGCUAGAAAAGUCUGCGUGUCGGGGCUGGGGUGAAGAGAGCUGAGGGGCGCUUUCCCUUCCCUCACCGGUGCGUUUUACCUCUCGAGGCACCGUAAGUUUGAAGUCCUCCAAGUUGUGGUCGGCGCCAUCAUGACGCCGGCGACUGGCCCAGAGAUGCUCUCAACACCACACUACUGUUGCCGGGAGUGCAUUGGAGAUUCUGGACUGUUUUCUCUAUCUCUUUAGUGCCUCUUUCAGCGAUAUGAAGUAGAAACCAGGUACUAUGAAUGCUCACCUGAAGUUUGGUUCUUAUGAAAGUGGUUUUAUUUUGUUUUGUUUUUCUGUGUAGAUGGUUGUUAACUUAGUGUCCUGGCUGGGGGUGGAGGAUGAUCAGCAGAGCCUUCUAUUCCACUGUCUUGCUCCACCUCUAUAUGAGCCCAUGAACAAAAUGAUCAUGGUGGAGACUGCAUACACUUGACAAUGUAGACUUUCUCUUAGCAAGGCUAAUCUGAAUGCCUCGUCUGUCAAAAGCAGAGAUUAAUGAGUUUUCAAUAUUUCAUUAUUCCUAAGAGUCUAGGCAGCCACCUGGAUAGGGUUGAUUAUUUUCAACCCUUUUUGUCACAGUUGGAGCUGUAUGUUGUAUUUUUAUAAGAACUUGAAGCACAUCUAUCAGCACCAACAUUCAUAGAUUUAGAUUCUCUCGUGUGUUACUAUUUCAUCCCACAAGUAUCCUACCUGAUUAGAGGACACAUUACAGGAAAGGCAGUUGGUCAAGAGACACAUGCCAAGGGUAUUCGCAAAUAGUCUUAACACAUUCCCUGUGACCCCAAAUUAGUUGAGUCGAUAGAAUGAUGGAAUGAUCUGCUGAAAGGUCAGUUAUGAUGUCAGAUUACAACUAACUUACUCAGGUGACAAAUGUGUUAUUAUUUUCCUCAUUUUAACUGAGAAAGUAAAGUUCAUAAAGGUUGUUUCAUGAUAUAUCCAUUAGAUGCCAUAACUGCAAUAUUAAUUAAAAUGUACAAUUUUAAAUUUAUAAUCCUUGGCAUUUAAAAUAUCUCUCCAAAUUUUACCCAUCUGUCUAUUGAACUUUAUCUUCCAUGACCACUUUCAAAAGAUUCUAUGUUUUGUUUCAUUAAAGUACUUAAUUAUUCUGCAGAAAGUAUUUAUUGUUCACCUGUUGUGCUUCAAACAGCCUGUGAGUUACCAAGGCUAAAAUAUGUGGUUCCUACCUUCAAGGAACACAACUUUAGUGUGUAAAUUGUCAGCCUGUAUGAAUGUAAGCAUACUAGUACUUGCUUCAUUCAACAAAUGUUUACCUAACUUUGGCAGGGUGAAGAUAUUGUUAUAACCUAUAGACAUAAACCAUAAUUUUAUGAGCUAACAUUAAGAGAUAAACAGGAAACAUAUAUGGUAGGAUAUGAUAAAUGACCAAGAGUAACACAAUGUGAAAAUAUGUAAAUUAUGUCAAGCUAUGUCAUGUUGUCAAUUUCUGACUAUUUUGGACGAAAUAUAUCUUUUGUGUUAAGAAAGAGCAUUUGAUAUGUGUCCAUUUGAUAUGUCAUGCCUAUCAGUUAUAAAAGGCAAAACACGACUGUGAAGAAGACUAACACACUAUUUUUAAAUUUUAACCUGUUGACAUCUGUCAAAUAACUUAUCAUUUAACCCACUUUAUAUAGAGAGUGAUUGCUUGUUUUAUCCUGAUGUUUUUUCUUUUUAAAUUGAUAAAACAGUAAUAAUGAUUGAUGACUUUUUCUUUCCAAAUGAUAGAAAAUGAAGAAACUUCAAUAUAAAUUUCAAGUCUUAAUGCAACAUAAACGCUUAAGUGAUUAAUAUUGCUCAGCUGGAUUUCUUUUUAAGUAUUCUGAAAAUAGAAUUUGAUAGAAAAGAUGUGGAGACAAAAGGGAAUUUUCAUGAUCCAGGGAGAAACUUUGUC